Molecule: ribosomal RNA, 519 nt
Filed under: Escherichia coli
Lineage: Bacteria; Pseudomonadati; Pseudomonadota; Gammaproteobacteria; Enterobacterales; Enterobacteriaceae
Also listed under: 1 other name
Description: bacterial SSU rRNA
Rfam family: Bacterial small subunit ribosomal RNA
Source: RNAcentral
GAACUUUCCAGAGAUGGAUUGGUGCCUUCGGGAACUGUGAGACAGGUGCUGCAUGGCUGUCGUCAGCUCGUGUUGUGAAAUGUUGGGUUAAGUCCCGCAACGAGCGCAACCCUUAUCCUUUGUUGCCAGCGGUCCGGCCGGGAACUCAAAGGAGACUGCCAGUGAUAAACUGGAGGAAGGUGGGGAUGACGUCAAGUCAUCAUGGCCCUUACGACCAGGGCUACACACGUGCUACAAUGGCGCAUACAAAGAGAAGCGACCUCGCGAGAGCAAGCGGACCUCAUAAAGUGCGUCGUAGUCCGGAUUGGAGUCUGCAACUCGACUCCAUGAAGUCGGAAUCGCUAGUAAUCGUGGAUCAGAAUGCCACGGUGAAUACGUUCCCGGGCCUUGUACACACCGCCCGUCACACCAUGGGAGUGGGUUGCAAAAGAAGUAGGUAGCUUAACCUUCGGGAGGGCGCUUACCACUUUGUGAUUCAUGACUGGGGUGAAGUCGUAACAAGGUAACCGUAGGGGAACC